CCAAGAGCUACGUUUCUACCGAUUGAUUUUCCGUUUUCUCCAACCGGUGAUUCUAACAUUUUGGGAGUGCAAGCAAGUGGUCUAGGGUUCCUACUUGAGCUUGGUUGUCUACACUAGAGUAGGUGAUGAUGUACCAUUGGAGCAAGCUUUGGAGGUUGAAGAAGACCCAGCCCCUAGUACUUAGGCCUUCUACUAGCUCUUAGUUGAUUAGCUUGUUAUUUUGAAAAACUCCUAGCUUUUAUUUUAUAUAGUUCGACACUUUUGAAAAA
Molecule: long non-coding RNA, 269 nt
Organism: Vigna angularis (adzuki bean)
Lineage: Eukaryota; Viridiplantae; Streptophyta; Magnoliopsida; Fabales; Fabaceae
Exons: 3
Source: RefSeq, a predicted model, not a curated record